RNAcentral lists this long non-coding RNA (496 nucleotides) under Gallus gallus (chicken). Lineage: Eukaryota; Metazoa; Chordata; Aves; Galliformes; Phasianidae. The record is from RNAcentral.
CUCAGCCUUGAGCUCGUCGAUGUGGUCCUUGAGCUGCCGGAUGUACUGAGCGGCGUCCGAGUGGUUGAGCUGCCCCUGGAUCAUCCCCUCCUCCCUCUGGAUCUCCAGCUCAGCCACACGCUGUCGCAUCUCGGCCAGGGCUGCCAUGCUGUCGGCCUCGCGCAGCCGCACCGCCAUCACCUCCUCCUUGCUCUUGCACUGCGCCUCGGCGUGCUUCCGGUGGCUCUCGCUGAGCUGCGCCUGCAGCCCUUUGCUCUGCGCCGCCGCCAGACGCAGCUGCUCCCGCAGCCCCGCGCACGUCUGCUCCGCACGGCCCAGCACCGUGCGCUGGAUCUGACCCUGUGUCUCCAGUUGCAGCACCCGCUGCCGCAGCGCCCGCAGCUCAGCCUGGGCCUGAGCCUCCCGCAGCCGCGCUGCCACCACCGCCUCCUGCAGCGCGUUGGCGUUGCUCCGCCGCGGGGAAUCCUUCCAGCGCCCCCCCGCACGGCCCGCCUGC